GGAAGCCAAAUUUGGCCGGUGUCAGGCCUGGUCUUCAAAACCAGUGAACGGUACUCGUAUCGUUGGUGGGUUCGACUCCCACUGGCUUCCGCCA
RNAcentral lists this transfer RNA (94 nucleotides) under Acidobacteriota bacterium. Its description in RNAcentral is "Acidobacteria bacterium tRNA-Sec". It matches the Rfam family "Selenocysteine transfer RNA". RNAcentral also lists the same sequence under 1 other name. The record is from RNAcentral. Lineage: Bacteria; Pseudomonadati; Acidobacteriota.